UACGUAGGAUGCAAGCGUUGUCCGGAAUUACUGGGCGUAAAGAGCGUGCAGGCGGUCAAUCAAGUCAGAUGUGAAAUAUCCCGGCUUAACUGGGAGGGGUCAUUUGAAACUGGUUGACUAGAGUGAAGCAGAGGAUAGCGGAAUUCACGGUGUAGCAGUGAAAUGCGUAGAUAUCGUGAGGAACACCAGAGGCGAAGGCGGCUACCUGGACAAUUGCUGACGCUCAGGCACGAAAGCGUGGGGAGCAAAAGGG
RNAcentral lists this ribosomal RNA (253 nucleotides) under uncultured bacterium. RNAcentral describes it as "partial 16S ribosomal RNA". It matches the Rfam family "Bacterial small subunit ribosomal RNA", at positions 524 to 776 of the family's 1533-position model. The record is from RNAcentral.